GAUGAACGCUGGCGGCGUGCCUAACACAUGCAAGUCGAGCGAACAGACGAAGCGCUUUCUUCGCUUACGUUAGCGGCGGCCGGGUGAGUAACACGUGGAUAACCUAUCUAUAAGACUGGCAUAACUUCGGGAGACCGGAGCUAAUACCCGACAAUAUAUUGAACCGCGUGGAUCAAUAGAGCUAGACGGUUUUGCUGUCCCUUAUAGAUAGAUACGGGCCGCAUUAGCUAGUUGGUAUGGUAACGGCUUACCAAGGCAACGAUGCGUAGCGGACCUGAGAGGAUGAUCAGCCACACUGGAACUGAGACACGGUCCAGACUCCUACGGGAGGCAGCAGUAGGGAAUCUUGCGCAAUGGGCGAAAGCCUGACGGAGCAAUGCCGCGUGAGUGAUGAAGGUCUUCGGAUCGUAAAGCUCUGUAAGUAGGGAGGAAGAAAAGUGAAAUAAACUAUGCACGUUUUGACGGUACCUAAAGAAAAAGCCCCGGCUAACUACGUG
Molecule: ribosomal RNA, 497 nt
Filed under: uncultured bacterium
Lineage: Bacteria
Description: partial 16S ribosomal RNA
Rfam family: Bacterial small subunit ribosomal RNA
Source: RNAcentral